Molecule: ribosomal RNA, 468 nt
Filed under: uncultured bacterium
Lineage: Bacteria
Description: partial 16S ribosomal RNA
Rfam family: Bacterial small subunit ribosomal RNA
Source: RNAcentral
GACGAACGCUGGCGGCGUGCUUAACACAUGCAAGUCGAACGGAAAGGCCCUGCUUUUGUGGGGUGCUCGAGUGGCGAACGGGUGAGUAACACGUGAGUAACCUGCACUUAUAUUUGGGAUAACUUCUGGAAACUGGGGCUAAUACCGGAUAGGAGCUCCUGCUGCGUGUGGGUGGAUGGAAAGUUUCGGCGGUUGGGGCUGGACUCGCGGCUUAUGAGCUGGUUGGUGGGGUAGGUGAGUUCCAAGGGUGUGACGGGUAGCCGGCCUGAGAGGGGGAACGGCCACAUUGGGCCUGAGAUACGGACCAGAAGCCUAUGGGCGGCAGCAGUGGGGAAUAUUGCACAACGGGCGGAAGCCUGAGGCGGCAAUGUCGCGAGCGGGAUGCCGGCCUUCGAGUUGUAAACCGAUUUCGACUGUGCCGAACAGUGAGUGACGGUAAUGGGUAAAGAAGCACCGGCUAACUACGUG